Molecule: ribosomal RNA, 253 nt
Filed under: uncultured bacterium
Lineage: Bacteria
Description: partial 16S ribosomal RNA
Rfam family: Bacterial small subunit ribosomal RNA
Source: RNAcentral
UACGUAGGGUGCGAGCGUUGUCCGGAAUUAUUGGGCGUAAAGGGCUCGUAGGCGGUUUGUCGCGUCGGGAGUGAAAACCCAGGGCUUAACUCUGGGCUUGCUUUCGAUACGGGCAGACUAGAGGUAUGCAGGGGAGAACGGAAUUCCUGGUGUAGCGGUGAAAUGCGCAGAUAUCAGGAAGAACACCCGUGGCUAAGGCGGCUCUCUAGUACGGUACUGACGCUGAGACGCGAAAGCGUGGGGAGCGAACAGG